RNAcentral lists this ribosomal RNA (404 nucleotides) under Actinomycetes bacterium. RNAcentral's name for it is "Actinobacteria bacterium partial 16S ribosomal RNA". It matches the Rfam family "Bacterial small subunit ribosomal RNA", at positions 355 to 776 of the family's 1533-position model. The record is from RNAcentral. Lineage: Bacteria; Bacillati; Actinomycetota; Actinomycetes.
UGGGGAAUAUUGGACAAUGGGCGCAAGCCUGAUCCAGCCAUGCCGCGUGAGUGAUGAAGGCCCUAGGGUUGUAAAGCUCUUUCCCCGGUGAAGAUAAUGACGGUAACCGGAGAAGAAGCCCCGGCUAACUUCGUGCCAGCAGCCGCGGUAAUACGAAGGGGGCUAGCGUUGUUCGGAUUUACUGGGCGUAAAGCGCACGUAGGCGGACUUUUAAGUCAGGGGUGAAAUCCCGGGGCUCAACCCCGGAACUGCCUUUGAUACUGGAAGUCUUGAGUAUGGAAGAGGUGAGUUGAAUUCCGAGUGCAGAGGUGAAAUUCGUAGAUAUUCGGAGGAACACCAGUGGCGAAGGCGGCUCACUGGACCAUUACUGACGCUGAGGUGCGAAAGCGUGGGGAGCAAACAGG